GACGAACGCUGGCGGCGUGCUUAACACAUGCAAGUCGAACGGUAAGGCCCUUCGGGGUACACGAGUGGCGAACGGGUGAGUAACACGUGGUGAUCUGCCCUGCACUUCGGGAUAAGCCUGGGAAACUGGGUCUAAUACCGGAUAGGACCAUGGACUUCACGGUUUGUGGUGGAAAGCUUUUGCGGUGUGGGAUGGGCCCGCGGCCUAUCAGCUUGUUGGUGGGGUAAUGGCCUACCAAGGCGACGACGGGUAGCCGGCCUGAGAGGGUGUCCGGCCACACUGGGACUGAGAUACGGCCCAGACUCCUACGGGAGGCAGCAGUGGGGAAUAUUGCACAAUGGGCGCAAGCCUGAUGCAGCGACGCCGCGUGAGGGAUGACGGCCUUCGGGUUGUAAACCUCUUCGUAUAGGGACGAAGCGCAAGUGACGGUACCUAUAGAAG
RNAcentral lists this ribosomal RNA (441 nucleotides) under uncultured bacterium. RNAcentral's name for it is "bacterial SSU rRNA". It matches the Rfam family "Bacterial small subunit ribosomal RNA", at positions 28 to 487 of the family's 1533-position model. The record is from RNAcentral.